Nicotiana tabacum (common tobacco) is the source of this 459-nucleotide non-coding RNA. Lineage: Eukaryota; Viridiplantae; Streptophyta; Magnoliopsida; Solanales; Solanaceae. The record is from RefSeq and is a predicted model, not a curated record.
AAAGGAAAACGGAAAAAGGGUUCUGCUUUAGAACGCAGAAAACGAAUUUCAAAAAGGAGGAGAAGAAGAAGAGGAAAAAAGGGCUGGAACCAAGCCUUGAGAAAACUUAAAUACGCACUGGUAUUUACGGGUUGAUUGGAGGAAUUUGUACGAGUUGCUUGAGGUGAAGCAAUUGGUAUUUCGGCACGAGUACUAGACAGCAGCUGACGCAGGCGAGGAUCUCGUUAAUUAGAGCGCACAGGUUAAGAAAUUUUGGUGAUCCUCGCACUUGUUCGCGUGGGCAGAGAUUUUAUUUACUGUUAUGGUCUUUCCAUUGAACUCUUAGAGUUGCUCCAUAGUUAGUAUUUUAGUGUCAUGAGUAUUCUUUUGUUAUUAUAGUCUUAUGUUGAGUAUUGUUCUCAUUUAUCAAAGUUGGAGAUAAAUUAGUAUUUCUAGCGGUUAGUUGGUGAUUUAGUUAUG